Molecule: small RNA, 592 nt
Filed under: Pongo abelii (Sumatran orangutan)
Lineage: Eukaryota; Metazoa; Chordata; Mammalia; Primates; Hominidae
Description: processed transcript
Source: RNAcentral
GAACAUUAAUGUGAGCUAUCCCGAAUGGCUGAGCCCUGAAGAGGACCUGAACUUUGUAACAGACACUGCCAAGGCCCUGGCAGAUGUGGCCACGGUGCUGGGACGUGCUCUGUAUGAGCUUGCAGGAGGAACCAACUUCAGCGACAGAGUUCAGGCUGAUCCCCAAACGGUUACCCGCCUGCUCUAUGGGUUCCUGAUUAAAGCCAACAACUCAUGGUUCCAGUCUAUCCUCAGGCAGGACCUAAGGUCCUACUUGGGUGACGGGCCUCUUCAACAUUACAUCGCUGUCUCCAGCCCCACCAACACCACUUAUGUUGUACAGUAUGCCUUGGCAAAUUUGACUGGCACAGUGGUCAACCUCACCCGAGAGCAGUGCCAGGAUCCAAGUAAAGUCCCAAGUGAAAACAAGGAUGUGAGUGGUGGUGGGUGUUGGAAGUGCCCUGGGGCCCCUUUCCCUUGGGAAAGUUGGAGGUUCUUCUAGACCUAGUUAGACCCAGGGGAUUGGGAUGGAGAGGUAGAAAGAUGCAUUCCUCAGCAAUUGGGUGUUGAAAAGCCUGGAUGAAAAUGGACCAUCUGAAGGGUAAAGGGACAG